This 69-nucleotide transfer RNA is filed under the name Rhinolophus pusillus (least horseshoe bat). Its description in RNAcentral is "tRNA-Trp". It matches the Rfam family "tRNA". From Rfam's summary of the family: Transfer RNA (tRNA) molecules are approximately 80 nucleotides in length. Their secondary structure includes four short double-helical elements and three loops (D, anti-codon, and T loops). The record is from RNAcentral. Lineage: Eukaryota; Metazoa; Chordata; Mammalia; Chiroptera; Rhinolophidae. RNAcentral also lists the same sequence under 1 other name.
AGGAAUUUAGGUUAAUAUAGACCAAGAGCCUUCAAAGCUCUAAGCAAAUGAGUGUACAUUUAAUUCCUG